Long non-coding RNA from Panicum hallii, 667 nucleotides. RefSeq lists it as uncharacterized. NCBI's taxonomy places the organism in Eukaryota, Viridiplantae, Streptophyta, Magnoliopsida, Poales, Poaceae. The record is from RefSeq and is a predicted model, not a curated record. The transcript is spliced from 3 exons.
GGCGCCCGCGGCCCCGACCGCCGACCGGCCGCGCCCCCGCCCCCCGACCCCGGCGGCCCCCGACCCCCGGCGCCCUCGCCCUCGCUUGUUGGGAAGAUCAGAGCAGCCUCUGAGGAUGCAUUAGAAGUGGAGAAGACUACGAGAAAAUGGUUGUCGAUAAUGAACAAAGAUUGCAAUCGCUUUUGUAAAAUACUGAGCCUAGCAAAGAAGAACGUUGUUUCACAUCCUGAAGCGCCACGGAAACAAAGAAAGAUAAGUUUUGCAGAUGAAACUGGAGGAAUGCUCUGCCAUGUUAAGGUUUUUAAGGAUGGACAAACCAAUCUUCUUUCUGAAUGCCAGAGUGAUUUAUAAACGUACUAAGAGUCUGUUGGCACCAAGAAAUUUGAUCGAGAAAAGCAAGCUUGCUGACAAUAGAAUCAAACAAGCCGCUUAGUUGAACCAAAACAACUGGAGAAAGCUUCCAUUCACUGUAGAACACAAAUAUAGGAGCUAGUGCAUGUUGAAUGCACAGUCUGUAAUUUGCUGUAAAGUGAUUGAUGGCAUUGUUGUGGCAACUCAGGCAUUGUAUUAUCCUUGUAUGUUUAGAUCAAGAGUCCAUGUAAAUCGGCGGUUAUCAGAAUUGUUUGUUGAGAAGACUACAACUAAUCUGUAAACAAGAAUUGACCCA